UGAGGAACAUGACCUUCGGCGGGGGAUAGCCGGCCCAACGGCCGGGUAAUACCGCGUACGACCUUUUGGGGACAUCCCCGAUUGGUGAAAGCAGCAAUGCGCCGAAAGAGUGCCUCGCGGCCUAUCAGCUAGUUGGUGGGGUAACGGCUCACCAAGGCAACGACGGGUAGCUGGUCUGAGAGGAUGGUCAGCCACAUUGGGACUGAGACACGGCCCAGACUCCUACGGGAGCAG
Molecule: ribosomal RNA, 234 nt
Filed under: uncultured bacterium
Lineage: Bacteria
Description: partial 16S ribosomal RNA
Rfam family: Bacterial small subunit ribosomal RNA
Source: RNAcentral